GAACUUGGAGCUUAGGAACAAACUUACUGGAGUUCCUGAAAUCGUGGGACGUUCUCGGCAACUGCGACACGCGCAUCCCGGUCGCUCGGGCCUCUGGCAUGAUUUAUGCAAGCAAAUAAAUGUCGCCGUCGUGUCAUUAGACCGGUUCGUUUGAAAUGCAAAUAGCAUUUGCAACGCGCAUCGGAUACACUCUCCAAUUAAGUGUCCGCGCAAACUUUUCCCGUGGCCCGGGCGGCCGCGCGGGAAGUUCGCAGGUGCUUUGAAGUCGGAUAUAGAUUUGCCGUAGGACCGAGCGUGAAACUCGAUAUCUAAUUAUACGCUCUCUCGAGUCACCACUACCGGAAGCAAGAUCGUCGGCUCUCCCCUAUGUGUGCACGCGUAUUCACGAAUGACUUCCUGGUUAAUCUUCUGGCUUUAGUCUCGCGUCAUCGGCAGUAUCAGCCGCUACGUUCGAUUGAGUAAUCGCGUUUCGCUCUCAAUCUAAUUGAAAUCCGUCGCGUUUGCGAGGACUUUUUGCAGUUAUUGACACGCGCUUUCGAUUUGUAUCUUAUCGGGCAUCCGCAGAGAAACGCGGGAGCUGUUAUUUAAUCCACGAUCUUACGGACGCCGAUCUGUAACGAAGAUUAGAGAAAUGUGAUUAGUGCUCUCUGCAGAAAUGUAAUUUUGAGAAACGCAAGUUGGAUAUAUUACAGAAAGGGAUGAGUUUAUAUCUAAUUAUAAGAUCUAUCGCCCCGAAAAAUUAUCUCUCGAGUUCUCUUGGUCAACGAAUUACAAGGGCUCAAGAGUGGAACUUUACUCGCGAAAGAGCAAGUCUUUGUCGUAACUCAAAAAUGUGCGGUAACUUUUAAACCCGUUCAAAGUGAAUGAGUCUACGCGAGUGAAUGAACUGAGCGUCCACGAUUCCAUUCGCUUUCCUUUCUACUCGGCCAUCUCAUUCGCGUUGGUGCGCGUUCGUGAUGGUAACACGUGGAUUCGUGUGAACGCAAGCGGAGCGUGGAGCGGCCGGGCCGAGUUUUCGGAAGUAUCGAACGGGUUCCGUCUCACUCCGGUUCCCUCCCCUGUCCCCGUGCUCUCCUUGCGUCCCGUUGGUCCCGGAGAACUCUACUUUGGUGAUAGUAUCCUGCCGCCCGUGUUGUCCGACGCGUUGCCGAAUUUUGGCAAUGAUUGAUGGCUAUUAAGGACCGGGCCAAACCCGCACCGCUUGUACCACGCCCCGUGUCUCCCCGCGUCCAUCGCGUAUCACGCGCGCACACCGCUAUAUUUGCGAGAUCGCAAUUAAAGCAAAAAUAGCGCACCGCACGAAACACCAGGGCUGGACCAACGCUCAGCCAGCACCCGCGGGAAAUAUUCGUUUCUGAAGCCUGCCCCGAAAGGACGUAAUGCAUUUUUUCCGACUAAACACCUCGAAAAUCUUUCCAAGCGAUACAGAGCCGUCAAUCAUAUAAAAAUUACAUUGAAAUUACAUCGAAUCUUUGAAGGUGGACGAUGCGACAUAAAGAUAAAUUAUUUUCAUAUGCACUCCGAUGAGAUUCAAUGAUGAGAUUUUUCCGCUAACGCGCAUUUAGAUUCGCUACUUAAAAGCUACGAGUUGCAAAACACGAUCGGAAUGUAUUCAGUCUCGUGUAAUCAAAUCAAGUGCACCGAUCACGAUUUCGCUUUCAGAGACGUCGUCGCAUCCGGUGGCGCACAACGGUGACGCUUGAUGGGAUUGCAGUUUGACGAAGGGCACGAAGGGACGGACGAGGGGAAAAGAUCGAUAGUCGCCGGCAGGAGAGGCGAGCGUCGAUGAAAAGGUCAAAGGUUUCAGGGAUAUCUCUCGUUGACGACGCACGACACCGCCUGGCUACCGCGAUCGAAGUAACAUUAUUCCGAUCUCUGGUCCUGACGCGAAAUUGUGAAAUGCCAUCGACGGGAUUGGACGAAUCAGCCGUGAUCUCGACUGUAAAUUUGCAAAAUUAUUGCAACGGUAAAGUAUUUUUGUUGUAAAAUGAACAGAGACUUGGUCGGCUACUUCCGACCUCGCGUGUCCACGACUACUCCUGUAACAUCCGUUAUGCAGUAAUAUUGUGUCGCGAUUGUAGGACGGAAUUGAUAAAUAGGUGGACAAUAAAAGGAGAAAUAAAUGCUACAAAA
Long non-coding RNA from Solenopsis invicta (red fire ant), 2133 nucleotides. RefSeq lists it as uncharacterized. The record is from RefSeq and is a predicted model, not a curated record. The transcript has 3 exons. NCBI's taxonomy places the organism in Eukaryota, Metazoa, Arthropoda, Insecta, Hymenoptera, Formicidae.